CCUACGGGGGGCCGCAGUGGGGAAUAUUGGACAAUGGGGGGAACCCUGAUCCAGCCAUGCCGCGUGUGUGAAGAAGGCCCUCGGGUUGUAAAGCACUUUCAGUGAGGAAGAACGCCUGGUGGUUAAUACCCAUCAGGAAAGACAUCACUCACAGAAGAAGCACCGGCUAACUCCGUGCCAGCAGCCGCGGUAAUACGGAGGGUGCGAGCGUUAAUCGGAAUUACUGGGCGUAAAGCGCGCGUAGGUGGCUUGAUAAGCCGGUUGUGAAAGCCCCGGGCUCAACCUGGGAACGGCAUCCGGAACUGUCAAGCUAGAGUGCAGGAGAGGAAGGUAGAAUUCCCGGUGUAGCGGUGAAAUGCGUAGAGAUCGGGAGGAAUACCAGUGGCGAAGGCGGCCUUCUGGACUGACACUGACACUGAGGUGCGAAAGCGUGGGUAGCAAACAGGAUUAGAUACCCCAGUAGUC
This 465-nucleotide ribosomal RNA is filed under the name Vreelandella stevensii. RNAcentral's name for it is "partial 16S ribosomal RNA". It matches the Rfam family "Bacterial small subunit ribosomal RNA", at positions 338 to 795 of the family's 1533-position model. The record is from RNAcentral. Lineage: Bacteria; Pseudomonadati; Pseudomonadota; Gammaproteobacteria; Oceanospirillales; Halomonadaceae.